RNAcentral lists this small nucleolar RNA (130 nucleotides) under Cebus imitator (Panamanian white-faced capuchin). Its description in RNAcentral is "Small nucleolar RNA SNORA33 (ENSCCAG00000010348.1)". It matches the Rfam family "Small nucleolar RNA SNORA33". From Rfam's summary of the family: ACA33 is a member of the H/ACA class of snoRNA that guide the sites of modification of uridines to pseudouridines. Lineage: Eukaryota; Metazoa; Chordata; Mammalia; Primates; Cebidae. The record is from Rfam by way of RNAcentral.
AAGCCAGCCAAUGAAUCUGCCUACCUGAUUGUGUUUGUGUAGGCAUACUUUGAAAACUGGCAAUAGUAAAGCCAUGUUACGAGCCUUAAGGACAUUGAAGUCAUUAAGGUCCCUGAAAAUGGCUAUAACA